AAGUCAUAACAAGGUUUCCGUAGGUGAACCUGCGGAAGGAUCAUUAGUGAUUUGGCCGAGAGGCCUUCAUACAUCAUCCUCACACCUGUGAACACGUCGGAUCCCUCCGGGGAGACGAUACCUUUAACAAACAAUGUUGUAAUGAACGUCAUAUACACAAACAAAAAACAAAACUUUCAACAACGGAUCUCUUGGCUCUCGCAUCGAUGAAGAACGCAGCGAAAUGCGAUAAGUAAUGUGAAUUGCAGAAUUCAGUGAAUCAUCGAAUCUUUGAACGCACCUUGCGCCUCUUGGUAUUCCGAGAGGCAUGCCUGUCUGAGUGUCAUGAAACCUCAAUCCCACGAGUUUAAUCGCUUGUGUGGACUUGGACUUGGGCGUCUGCCUCCCCAGGCUCGCCUCAAAUGACUCAGUGGGACACCGUGUACCUACGCCUGACGUGAUAAGUUUCGUCUCGGCCGGUCUCGGAGCCCGCUCAGAACAACCCAUAUCUUUUGACCAUUGACCUCAGAUCAGGUAGGGCUACCCGCUGAACUUAA
RNAcentral lists this ribosomal RNA (536 nucleotides) under uncultured fungus. RNAcentral describes it as "eukaryotic LSU rRNA". The stretch from base 172 to 325 matches the Rfam family "5.8S ribosomal RNA". Lineage: Eukaryota; Fungi. The record is from RNAcentral.